AUUGAACGCUGGCGGCAGGCCUAACACAUGCAAGUCGAGCGGAUGAAGGGAGCUUGCUCCUGGAUUCAGCGGCGGACGGGUGAGUAAUGCCUAGGAAUCUGCCUGGUAGUGGGGGAUAACGUCCGGAAACGGGCGCUAAUACCGCAUACGUCCUGAGGGAGAAAGUGGGGGAUCUUCGGACCUCACGCUAUCAGAUGAGCCUAGGUCGGAUUAGCUAGUUGGUGGGGUAAAGGCCUACCAAGGCGACGAUCCGUAACUGGUCUGAGAGGAUGAUCAGUCACCUUGGAACUGAGACCCGGCCCAAGCUCCCACGGGAGGCAGCAGUGGGGAAUUUUGGAAAAUGGGCGAAAGCCUGAACCAGCCAGGCCGGGGGUGUGAAGAAGGUCUUCGGAUUGUAAAGCCCUUUAAGGUGGGGGGAAGGGAAGUAAGUUAAUACCUGGCUUUUUUGACGUUACCAACAAAAUAAGCACCGGCUAACUUCGU
Molecule: ribosomal RNA, 483 nt
Filed under: uncultured bacterium
Lineage: Bacteria
Description: partial 16S ribosomal RNA
Rfam family: Bacterial small subunit ribosomal RNA
Source: RNAcentral